CUGUCUUACAAAAAAUUGUUAUAACUUAUUUUAAACGGUGAAAAUACCGUUAAAUUUUAUUUAGGACGAGAAGACCCUAGGAACUAUAAAAAAAAUAACAUGUUAAAUGUUAGGAUUUUUGGUUGGGGCAACCAUGAGACAAAAAAAAAUUCUCAUAAACAUAUUGUACAUGUCGAACGAUUAUGUUAAGUGUGUCUUUUAGUUACCCUAGGGAUAACAGCAUAAUUUUAUAAAUAAGAUUGUGACCUCGAUGUUGGACUAG
This 262-nucleotide ribosomal RNA is filed under the name Synprosphyma franciscana. RNAcentral describes it as "partial 16S ribosomal RNA". Lineage: Eukaryota; Metazoa; Mollusca; Gastropoda; Stylommatophora; Clausiliidae. The record is from RNAcentral.